This 29-nucleotide non-coding RNA is filed under the name Mus musculus (house mouse). Lineage: Eukaryota; Metazoa; Chordata; Mammalia; Rodentia; Muridae. The record is from RNAcentral.
UGGCAUGCCGCUGUGCUUGUUGUCCCUAA